Molecule: long non-coding RNA, 2513 nt
Filed under: Cyanistes caeruleus (blue tit)
Lineage: Eukaryota; Metazoa; Chordata; Aves; Passeriformes; Paridae
Description: lncRNA (ENSCCEG00000023230.1)
Source: RNAcentral
AUGGCAGUACAGCCACAUCCCCAGGGUGUCCUGCACAGUGACACCACAACAGCCACAUCCCCAGGGUGUCCUGCCUGCACAGUGACACCACAACAGCCACAUCCCCAGGGUGUCCUGCACAGUGACACCACAACAGCCACAUCCCCAGGGUGUCCUGCACAGGGUGCCCUGCACAGUGACACCACAACAGCCACACAGCGGGGCUGGGACCCCUCUUCCCUCAGCCUGACACCUGCUGUGGGGCUGAGCUUUAGAAGGCAGCACCAUCUGAACUUGGAGCUGGACCAAAGUCAUUGGAAAGCUCCUGCAAGGGGAGCCUUUGAAGCUCCUCCAGGGAGCAGCAGAUGUUUGAGGAGAUGAUACCACACAGCUGGAUGGAGAGGAGCAAGCAGCGAUGAACUCCUGUAAACACUGAGCAAUGGAAGAAUUUCCCAGCACUCCUCAGGCUGGAUCUCACAUGGAUACAGCAGAGUUUAUUUAUUUAAACACAGAAGCAAAGACAAAGCAAGAUGCCAUAAAGAAGCCAUUGUAUGAGUGAAAGUCACACUGAACACAACCAGACCCCAGGACUGUGAGUGGGUUUCCUACUUGUAGUGGAAAACAACUCUCCUGUCCCUAACACAGGGCCUGGAGCUCUACCAGGACAGCUGGGACAAAGCUCUGCAGAGAAGGCAUCAAUGGACCCAGCAAAUGCUCCUUAAAAUACAUUAACACCAAACCUUACAACUCCAACCUGGCUGCAUUUACCAGCACACUUCUUCCCGUUUGGGAGUUAUCCAAAGGUUUGGAUUUUCUCCUGUGAGCUCUGUCGCUGCUCAGGAGUCUCCACCCCCUUUUCCCUGCAGCUCUAGAUGUGAUGCUUGCUGCCUGACCCCCUCUCUGGGGCACAAACUGUUCUGUGAACACGAGGAGAGAGCUGAUGGAGCGCUCUCACUGAUUAUGUGAGAUUGUCUGGCAUCAACUGUUGCUCAGAUCCAGUUACAUAAGGCUCUGAGGUAUCUGAAUAACUAAAAUUACCCCCUCCUCCAGCUGGCUCCUCUCUGAAGCCUGAUCAUCUGGCUUUGAUGACAAUGGAGGGGCAGAGGCUGCUGGCAGACACAGCCUGGCUGGAGAGGGAGGCUGUAAAACACCAUCAGCACUGCUGCAGUCAGCUGGCCACACAGAAAGUGAUAUAGAAAUGUACACACUAAGAAUUAUCAAUCCAUUGCUGGGGUUUACAGGCUGAUUGAUGAAGGCAAUGAACUCUUGGAACUGCCUUGAGCUGCUCCUGCUCUGGGAUACAACACCCAGAGCCAGCCCAUCUCCAGCGUGGCAAAUCCUCCAGGAAUUACUGGAGCUACAGCUGGCAGGAAUGGCAGACAAGACACUCAAUCUCCAAGAAAGUUAAAAUAAUUCAAGCAGCCAGGCACAGGACCCUUGUUGGGCACUCCCCACCGUGCCCUUGUCCCACCCUGCUCCUGUGGAAGUUCAGAGCUCCUCUCCCAGGAAUCCAGGCAGGCUCAGGGACAGCUCCAACUCCGAUUUCUGCAGUCCCAGUUCCACCUGCCCCUUCCCACACUGCUCACCCAGGAGGAGCUGCUCCUGCUCCCCUUUGCACAGAACACCAGCACCCAAAAGAAACGGUGGCAGACGGGUCCCGCUCCUGAUUUCCCAGGAAAUUGAUUUUUCACACAGCAUUCCAGGCCAACCCAGCAGUGACUCACAGCAGCUCUGUCCCAUAAUGGCCCCACAGCAUAACUACACUGCUAAGCCAUCAAGAGCAAUAUUUGCCUGAAUAUUUUCCAGAAUGUGUGUCUGGGGCAAAAGCUGCAGCUGUGACGUGAAGGAUUUAAAUAUUCCCCCUCGUGCAGGGAUCUAGGACAAAGCUUUAUGCACCAGAUAGCUCCCAAUACUUUGAAUUUCUGAGCUGAAGCAGGUCUAUUCCACCACAAAGAACUGCACCCUUGGUGAUCUCUGGGAAGUGAGAAUCUGUUUGAUUAUUUAAAUGAUGGGAGCUGAACAGGUAUACUCAAAGUUAGGGGAAAAUGUGUGUUCCUUUUGAUAAUAGUUUUAUUUAUUAAUGAAAGUCAUCAUGCUGUAAUGUCAUCUAAAUUAGCCUCAAUUAAUUUCUGAAUUAAUCAGGUAUGUUCCUGGUAAUUUCUUUCUCCUAUUACACUUUUCAAGAAUCUUCAAAUGAUAAAAGGAAUUUUAGUACAAAGAAAUGGAGAGGUCUUUUUAUAACAGACAUUCAAGAUAAGAAUAGAAUAGAUACAGAAGACAGGAGGGUAAAUCUCAUCAAACUGCUUUGAAACCAUAUAUUUGAAGUCAAUUAUUAUAUCAAAGUCACUAAAAACCAUCAAAUAUCCUCAUUAGCCACAAUUUUUGAUUUUCAGAAGUGAUAAAGGCUAAUAGAACUGAGAGUUUUUCAUCCCAACUCCAAACCAUCCCCAGCACCAAACGAGGCUAUGUGAACACUGAAAGGGAUUUAUGACUGGGGAAAUAAAUAUUUCUGUAAAUAUUGUGUGUGGUCUCCA